This 623-nucleotide non-coding RNA is filed under the name Homo sapiens (human). Lineage: Eukaryota; Metazoa; Chordata; Mammalia; Primates; Hominidae. The record is from RNAcentral.
AUCUACGGAAUCCAGAGGCAGCAUUGUCUCCAACCUUCCGUAGUGACAGCCCAGUGCCUACUGCACCCACCUCUGGUGGCCCUAAGCCCAGCACAGCUUCAGCAGUUCCUGAAUUAGCUACAGAUCCUGAGUUAGAGAAGAAGUUGCUACACCACCUCUCUGAUCUGGCCUUAACAUUGCCCACUGAUGCUGUGUCCAUCUGUCUUGCCAUCUCCACGCCAGAUGCUCCUGCCACUCAAGAUGGGGUAGAAAGCCUCCUGCAGAAGUUUGCAGCUCAGGAGUUGAUUGAGGUAAAGCGAGGUCUCCUACAAGAUGAUGCACAUCCUACUCUUGUAACCUAUGCUGACCAUUCCAAGCUCUCUGCCAUGAUGGGUGCUGUGGCAGAAAAGAAGGGCCCUGGGGAGGUAGCAGGGACUGUCACAGGGCAGAAGCGGCGUGCAGAACAGGACUCGACUACAGUAGCUGCCUUUGCCAGUUCGUUAGUCUCUGGUCUGAACUCUUCAGCAUCGGAACCAGCAAAGGAGCCAGCCAAGAAAUCAAGGAAACAUGCUGCCUCAGAUGUUGAUCUGGAGAUAGAGAGCCUUCUGAACCAACAGUCCACUAAGGAACAACAGAGCAAGAAG